GAUACGCCCCAAAGCUCGCUACCUAUUAGCAUCAUUAGUUUAGACUUUAGAGACAGUCGAUAAAUUUACAUAACCUAUGAUCGUAAACGCUAGAAUUAAAUUUACCCAUUUACAUCAAUAAGACAAAAAAAACAGUUUAAAAGUCUUUUGACCACUUUACUUCCAUAUGAAGAUUGAAACUAUCGAUGCUAAGAAAUCCACAUUUUCUAUCUGAUGACUCUAAAGUCUAAACCAGCAUUUACUUAGCUGUAAUGCAAUUUAAUUACUUGUUGGGAUUAAAAGGUACUGAUAAAAAACAUUACAGCCUGAUUAUACAAUAAAAAUAGAAAAUCAAAAUUUGUUAUUCGUUGCCAAUAAGAGAAACAGAAAAUUAGGAAAACGUUUCUAGUUUUGAUCCUAUUGAUUUUUAUCUACUUGUGACUUUCCAUUCUAUAAAUUUCGUAUCAAGACAAUCCUAUCCAUCACUCUCACUCUGCUGUGUCAGAAUAUUCUUCUAGUCAUAAAUUACACAACUGACCAAAAUUCUCAUCCUUACAAAAAUUAAAUAGUAUACAUCUAAUUAAUAGGGUAUCACAGGCGAAAUUGGAAAUAAAUUUCUCUGCUUUGACCUAGAUCAAUUGAUAAAUAGAAUAGUUUAUACAUAUUUGCAUAAAUCUAUGAACAAAGGAAACAUCAAUAGAUGAUUUCAAUGUAAUUGCACAAUCAUCAAAAUGUAUACAACUAGUUCCACUAAACACACUCCAUAACCCAAAACAAAUAAUCACAUACUUGCAAAAAUAAAUAUGAGGCGUAAAUGUCAAAGAAUCAGAGAAAAAAAAUCAAAAUGUAUGACAUCACACAAGCAUGGUAACAUUAACAAGAGAGCCAAAAAAAAACACAGACAUCACAUGAAUAGUACAAAGAAACAAAAUCAACAAGGAACAAAACAGAGUGAUCUGAAGUCUUAACUUACCCCACAUCCAGUAUCAAUGGC
This is a long non-coding RNA of Arabidopsis thaliana (thale cress), 973 nucleotides long. RefSeq annotates it as other RNA. The transcript has a single exon. Lineage: Eukaryota; Viridiplantae; Streptophyta; Magnoliopsida; Brassicales; Brassicaceae. The record is from RefSeq.